CGAUUUCUUUCUCUCAUUCCCCUUUUUGAUUUUUUCUUUUUCUUGUUCGCGCGAUAUUUCUCCUAUACCCGUUAAGCUCUCUCACAUCAGAUCGGAAACGACUUCCCGUCCGAUCGCCCAGCUUUUAGCCGUGUGAAAAUUUCAUUUCUCUCCCAUUCUUCCAUUGUCUUGCCGGUUUUGUGUCAUCGUUUGUUGUUCGAUUCUGUUUAAAAACUCCCAAGGGCAGUUACUGAUUCUGAUUCUCUAUUGUUGGCGGUCGCACGAUUCGAUUGAAGAACUUCCGAGAGCUGUCACCGUCGAUCUCCAAAUUGACACCACUCUCUGGUUGGCCCGGGUCCACGAUCGCCAUCCUUGAUCGUCCUCCGUAGUGGCUGGUGGUCUUUGUUCACCGGUGAAAUUAGAAUUAAAUAUUUGCUAGGUUCCGACGGACAGAGAGCAAAGUAGUUUGAUAUUAUAUAUCAUUUGUUCGUAUGAAGGUGAGCAUCAUGUAAUUGGUGUAGAAGAUGGCACAAUGUUGGCGGAUCUUUACAUGAAUCUAUCAAAAAAAGGGAAUAAGAAAUAUCAUGCGAAAGUGACUAUUCUUCAUCCACUACAAAAAAUCCAGAACAAAUUUACCAUGAAGCUAAUAUCUUAAUUGCAGCUGCAGAAGUACCCAAUUUGGUCUGUGGCUCAAUUGUCGUAGAUAUUUAAAGAUGUAAUUAGGAUGUCCGUCAAUCAUUUUCUUGUAAUUACUUUUG
Molecule: long non-coding RNA, 737 nt
Organism: Andrographis paniculata
Lineage: Eukaryota; Viridiplantae; Streptophyta; Magnoliopsida; Lamiales; Acanthaceae
Exons: 3
Source: RefSeq, a predicted model, not a curated record